GCUUGAUUAGUGUAGUGGUAUCAUGUAUCUUUCCCAAGGAUGCGACACGGGUUCGAUUCCCGUAUCAAGCA
Molecule: non-coding RNA, 71 nt
Organism: Myxozyma melibiosi
Lineage: Eukaryota; Fungi; Ascomycota; Lipomycetes; Lipomycetales; Lipomycetaceae
Source: the annotation of a RefSeq genome assembly